GGGGAUGUAGCUCAGUGGCAGAGUGUUUGCUUAACAUGCAUGAGGCCCUGGUUUAAUUCCCAGUAUCCCUG
RNAcentral lists this transfer RNA (71 nucleotides) under Ictidomys tridecemlineatus (thirteen-lined ground squirrel). RNAcentral's name for it is "Spermophilus tridecemlineatus (thirteen-lined ground squirrel) tRNA". It matches the Rfam family "tRNA". From Rfam's summary of the family: Transfer RNA (tRNA) molecules are approximately 80 nucleotides in length. Their secondary structure includes four short double-helical elements and three loops (D, anti-codon, and T loops). The record is from Rfam by way of RNAcentral. Lineage: Eukaryota; Metazoa; Chordata; Mammalia; Rodentia; Sciuridae.